This 433-nucleotide ribosomal RNA is filed under the name uncultured bacterium. Its description in RNAcentral is "partial 16S ribosomal RNA". It matches the Rfam family "Bacterial small subunit ribosomal RNA", at positions 29 to 507 of the family's 1533-position model. The record is from RNAcentral.
AACGAACGCUGGCGGCAUGUCUAACACAUGCAAGUCGAACGAGACCUUCGGGUCUAGUGGCGCACGGGUGCGUAACGCGUGGGAACCUGCCCUUAGGUUCGGAAUAACUCCCCGAAAGGGGUGCUAAUACCGGAUAAUGUCUUCGGACCAAAGAUUUAUCGCCUUUGGAUGGGCCCGCGUUGGAUUAGCUAGUUGGUAGGGUAAAAGCCUACCAAGGCGACGAUCCAUAGCUGGUCUGAGAGGAUGAUCAGCCACACUGGGACUGAGACACGGCCCAGACUCCUACGGGAGGCAGCAGUGGGGAAUAUUGGGCAAUGGGCGAAAGCCUGAUCCAGCAAUGCCGCGUGAGUGAUGAAGGCCUUAGGGUUGUAAAGCUCUUUUACCCGGGAUGAUAAUGACAGUACCGGGAGAAUAAGCUCCGGCUAACUCCGUG